UACGUAGGGUGCGAGCGUUGUCCGGAAUUACUGGGCGUAAAGAGCUCGUAGGUGGUUUGUCGCGUUGUUCGUGAAAACUCACAGCUCAACUGUGGGCGUGCGGGCGAUACGGGCAGACUGGAGUACUGCAGGGGAGACUGGAAUUCCUGGUGUAGCGGUGGAAAUGCGCAGAUAUCAGGAGGAACACCGAUGGCGAAGGCAGGUCUCUGGGCAUUAACUGACGCUGAGGAGCGAAAGCAUGGGGAGCGAACAGG
RNAcentral lists this ribosomal RNA (254 nucleotides) under uncultured bacterium. RNAcentral's name for it is "partial 16S ribosomal RNA". It matches the Rfam family "Bacterial small subunit ribosomal RNA", at positions 524 to 776 of the family's 1533-position model. The record is from RNAcentral.